Molecule: non-coding RNA, 429 nt
Organism: Maylandia zebra (zebra mbuna)
Lineage: Eukaryota; Metazoa; Chordata; Actinopteri; Cichliformes; Cichlidae
Source: RefSeq, a predicted model, not a curated record
GAUAGUACAUAUCUGUGCGGGGCUGUCCCAUCUGGCCUGGUUUUACUCUUGUGGUAUGAGCCUCUUCAAAAGUUCAUGCAUCUAAAGCAACUCGCCAUCAGACUCCCAGAUUCUCUUCUCAGCUGUGUGUUGGAGUGAGAGACUGUAGUAAUGAUAAACCACCAACCGGCCAACAGCUCAGGUUUGAUAUUAUAGAGCUGAACGGCGCUCCUGUUCCAGUGCCAGGAGAUAGUGGAGCACUCAGAGUCGUGCAGGUAACCCAGCUGGACCGAGACACUGUUCUCAUCACCUUGGAAAGAACUGUAAAGAUCGUGAACCUGCAAGGACUUCCAUCCAGACAGCUGGCUGCAGAAAUAGUCUUUGACUUCCCCAUUGAAACACUAGUCUGCUUGCAGGAUAGUGUGCUGGCAUUCUGGAAGCAUGGCCUCA